AGGGCUAUAGCCAAGCGGUAAGGCAACGGACUUUGACUCCGUCAUUCUCUGGUUCAAAUCCAGAUAGCCCUGCCA
This 75-nucleotide transfer RNA is filed under the name Euryarchaeota archaeon ADurb.Bin023. RNAcentral describes it as "tRNA-Gln". It matches the Rfam family "tRNA". Rfam says of the family: Transfer RNA (tRNA) molecules are approximately 80 nucleotides in length. Their secondary structure includes four short double-helical elements and three loops (D, anti-codon, and T loops). The record is from RNAcentral. RNAcentral also lists the same sequence under 2 other names. Lineage: Archaea; Methanobacteriati; Methanobacteriota.